Molecule: transfer RNA, 62 nt
Filed under: Lepeophtheirus salmonis (salmon louse)
Lineage: Eukaryota; Metazoa; Arthropoda; Copepoda; Siphonostomatoida; Caligidae
Description: tRNA-Asn
Source: RNAcentral
UUAUUUAAGGUCUUGCAUUAGACGUUUCACUGUUAAUGAAAAGAAGAGUUUCUCUAAAUAUU